RNAcentral lists this long non-coding RNA (1239 nucleotides) under Capsicum annuum. RNAcentral's name for it is "long non-coding RNA (CANN_LNC010819)". The record is from RNAcentral. Lineage: Eukaryota; Viridiplantae; Streptophyta; Magnoliopsida; Solanales; Solanaceae.
UCACUAUAGUAUAAAUACGUCUAAAACUAACUAAUUCCUCCAACCAAAUGCAGAAUAAAUAAUCCUGAAGUUUUAUCCCGAAAUUAUUAUACCUUAUACCUCAUCCCAAACUAAUCCUUAUAGCUUUGGUUAAUAUGCAUGUUUGUGUUUGGGAGAUUUUGCACAAAUGAUUAUCCAAAUAAUAGUCAACAAACAUACAUUUUAUAUAUUGGCUAGCGAUUGUAAUUAUUUUUGCUGAGGAGCGGAGCCAAAUGUGUAAAAAAAAUCUUAUAUUUUCGCGCUACGUAUAAGUUGAGCAAUAGAGAUGGUAAAGCGACGUGACAAAUAUGGCAAUGUCACUCAUAAUAAAUCGAUAGGACUUCAGGUUAUAUUCAGCCUAGCUAUAUAUAUCGUAAAACUCACAAACUAUAUCAAAUAUGCAUAACUUGAAAAGGAUUAAUUUCCCAAAAUUCCCAUUCAAAAAGUUUUUUUUUUUUUGGUCGAGCUAUUUUUUAUGUUUUAAUAAAAAAAAAUGUUACAUAAACUGAAACGAAAACAAUAGACCUAUCUUUUCGAAAAAUUUAUUUGCAACAUGUACUAUGCAUAAAUGCCAUUUGGUGUAUAUAGCCCCAUGUGCAACCAUAUGAAUUACCUCAAUAUAUAAAUUGAAUACAAAAAAAAUUCAAAUUGACUUAUAUAAAUUAUCCCUAAUCAUGUUGCCCUAUAUUAAUUAUUAAUCACCCUUGUUCAUGUUGCUCUAUUUAGUUUCUCAUCCGAUGUUUGAUAUGCGUAUUGAGAUCCUGACAAAAUAUGUAUCUUCGCAUUUGGAAAGCUCAUUUCUGAGGGCGAGGCUCCCAACAUGAUAUUUCAAUCUCCAUUCUGAUCUGAUGGUCAAUAGGACGAUUUAACAAAUAACAAAUCAGCACUAUUGUAUGGAAAACAUGAAAAUACCAAAUGAAAUUUGAAAAGAAAAAAAAACAUUUUCAAUUAUAACUAAAAUAUAAAUUUGUAAAGUUAGAAAAAAAAGGGUUGUUGCUUUGGGGGGAUCAAACAUAUAAGUUCCAAGGUAUUCAGCGAAGCUUACUCAUAGAGGCAAAUCCAAGAUUUGAACUUUAUCUGAGUUACUCGGUUCGGAAUUUAAUAAUUUGAACAUAUAUCUAGUAGAUUUCUUAAUACAAAGCUAUCGAGUUUGACCGAACUCUAUAGCUUCUACUAUGCAUCCACUCUUGUCUGCUUAUUUUCAAAUUUGUUGAAGUCAAN